This 62-nucleotide transfer RNA is filed under the name Camelus bactrianus (Bactrian camel). It matches the Rfam family "tRNA". From Rfam's summary of the family: Transfer RNA (tRNA) molecules are approximately 80 nucleotides in length. Their secondary structure includes four short double-helical elements and three loops (D, anti-codon, and T loops). Further hydrogen bonds mediate the characteristic L-shaped molecular structure. tRNAs have two regions of fundamental functional importance: the anti-codon, which is responsible for specific mRNA codon recognition, and the 3' end, to which the tRNAs corresponding amino acid is attached (by aminoacyl-tRNA synthetases). tRNAs cope with the degeneracy of the genetic code in two manners: having more than one tRNA (with a specific anti-codon) for a particular amino acid; and 'wobble' base-pairing, i.e. permitting non-standard base-pairing at the 3rd anti-codon position. Lineage: Eukaryota; Metazoa; Chordata; Mammalia; Artiodactyla; Camelidae. The record is from Rfam by way of RNAcentral. RNAcentral also lists the same sequence under 1 other name.
AGGGGUAUAGCUCAGUGGUAGAGCAUGCACUUAGGUCCUGAGUUCAACUCCUAGUUCCUCCA